This 465-nucleotide ribosomal RNA is filed under the name uncultured Klebsiella sp. RNAcentral describes it as "bacterial SSU rRNA". It matches the Rfam family "Bacterial small subunit ribosomal RNA", at positions 338 to 795 of the family's 1533-position model. The record is from RNAcentral. Lineage: Bacteria; Pseudomonadati; Pseudomonadota; Gammaproteobacteria; Enterobacterales; Enterobacteriaceae.
CCUACGGGGGGCUGCAGUGGGGAAUAUUGCACAAUGGGCGCAAGCCUGAUGCAGCCAUGCCGCGUGUGUGAAGAAGGCCUUCGGGUUGUAAAGCACUUUCAGCGGGGAGGAAGGCGGUGAGGUUAAUAACCUCAUCGAUUGACGUUACCCGCAGAAGAAGCACCGGCUAACUCCGUGCCAGCAGCCGCGGUAAUACGGAGGGUGCAAGCGUUAAUCGGAAUUACUGGGCGUAAAGCGCACGCAGGCGGUCUGUCAAGUCGGAUGUGAAAUCCCCGGGCUCAACCUGGGAACUGCAUUCGAAACUGGCAGGCUAGAGUCUUGUAGAGGGGGGUAGAAUUCCAGGUGUAGCGGUGAAAUGCGUAGAGAUCUGGAGGAAUACCGGUGGCGAAGGCGGCCCCCUGGACAAAGGCUGACGCUCAGGUGCGAAAGCGUGGGGAGCAAACAGGAUUAGAUACCCCUGUAGUC